AUGUGGCUAGUCAUACAGAAGAAGUGCCUUACGGCAGACAAUCUUCAGAAACGAGGCUGGCCUUGCAAUCGGGACUGCCCUCUUUGUUUAGCUCAACCGGAGAGCUGCUCACACCUGUUUGUGCAUUGUGGAUUCACACAGCAGCUCUGGAGCAGUUUCAAACAAUGGUCUGGAGUCGUGUUCCCCAUCCCGGACAGCAGUUUCGAUAGCACUGAGGACCGGUGGCUGGCGGCAAGGAAGGCAAUCCCAAAGCAAGCGCGCCGGAACUUUGACACAAUCGCCAUUCUUAUUCAUUGGAGAAUCUAGAAGGAGAGGAAUGCAAGAAUUUUUCAACACACAGCUUGUAAUAUUGAUAGGGUAUUAGACCUAAUCAAGGAGGAUAUUGGAGUGUGGAGAUCCGCCGGAUGUGUGGCUGAUUUAGUUAGCUAG
RNAcentral lists this ribosomal RNA (429 nucleotides) under Triticum aestivum (bread wheat). RNAcentral describes it as "partial small subunit ribosomal RNA". Lineage: Eukaryota; Viridiplantae; Streptophyta; Magnoliopsida; Poales; Poaceae. The record is from RNAcentral.